Molecule: ribosomal RNA, 1352 nt
Filed under: Prevotella nigrescens
Lineage: Bacteria; Pseudomonadati; Bacteroidota; Bacteroidia; Bacteroidales; Prevotellaceae
Description: bacterial SSU rRNA
Rfam family: Bacterial small subunit ribosomal RNA
Source: RNAcentral
GGACGUCGACCGGCGCACGGGUGAGUAUCGCGUAUCCAACCUUCCCUCCACUCGGGGAUACCCCGUUGAAAGACGGCCUAAUACCCGAUGUUGUCCACAUAUGGCAUCUGACGUGGACCAAAGAUUCAUCGGUGGAGGAUGGGGAUGCGUCUGAUUAGCUUGUUGGUGCGGGUAACGGCCCACCAAGGCGACGAUCAGUAGGGGUUCUGAGAGGAAGGUCCCCCACAUUGGAACUGAGACACGGUCCAAACUCCUACGGGAGGCAGCAGUGAGGAAUAUUGGUCAAUGGACGUAAGUCUGAACCAGCCAAGUAGCGUGCAGGAUUGACGGCCCUAUGGGUUGUAAACUGCUUUUGUUGGGGAGUAAAGUGGGGCACGUGUGCCCCUUUGCAUUUACCCUUCGAAUAAGGACCGGCUAAUUCCGUGCCAGCAGCCGCGGUAAUACGGAAGGUCCAGGCGUUAUCCGGAUUUAUUGGGUUUAAAGGGAGUGUAGGCGGUCUGUUAAGCGUGUUGUGAAAUUUAGGUGCUCAACAUCUACCUUGCAGCGCGAACUGGCGGACUUGAGUGCACGCAACGUAUGCGGAAUUCAUGGUGUAGCGGUGAAAUGCUUAGAUAUCAUGACGAACUCCGANUGCGAAGGCAGCGUACGGGAGUGUUACUGACGCUUAAGCUCGAAGGUGCGGGUAUCGAACAGGAUNAGAUACCCUGGUAGUCCGCACGGUAAACGAUGGAUGCCCGCUGUUAGCGCCUGGCGNUAGCGGCUAAGCGAAAGCAUUAAGCAUCCCACCUNGGGAGUACGCCGGCAACGGUGAAACUCAAAGGAAUUGACGGGGGCCCGCACAAGCGGAGGAACAUGUGGUUAAUUCGAUGAUACGCGAGGAACCUUACCCGGGCUUGAAUUGCAGACGCAGGAUACAGAGAUGUUGACUCCCUUCGGGGCGUCUGUGAAGGUGCUGCAUGGUUGUCGUCAGCUCGUGCCGUGAGGUGUCGGCUUAAGUGCCAUAACGAGCGCAACCCCUUUCCUUAGUUGCCAUCAGGUCAUGCUGGGCACUCUGGGGACACUGCCACCGCAAGGUGUGAGGAAGGUGGGGAUGACGUCAAAUCAGCACGGCCCUUACGUCCGGGGCUACACACGUGUUACAAUGGCCGGUACAGAGGGACGGUGCGAUGCAAAUCGCAUCCAAUCUUGAAAGCCGGUCCCAGUUCGGACUGAGGUCUGCAACCCGACCUCACGAAGCUGGAUUCGCUAGUAAUCGCGCAUCAGCCAUGGCGCGGUGAAUACGUUCCCGGGCCUUGUACACACCGCCCGUCAAGCCAUGAAAGCCGGGGGUGCCUGAAGUUCGUAACCGCGAG